This 766-nucleotide ribosomal RNA is filed under the name uncultured bacterium. Its description in RNAcentral is "bacterial SSU rRNA". It matches the Rfam family "Bacterial small subunit ribosomal RNA", at positions 8 to 796 of the family's 1533-position model. The record is from RNAcentral.
AGAGUUUGAUCCUGGCUCAGGACGAACGCUGGCGGCGUGGAUUAGGCAUGCAAGUCGAGCGACGAACCUUCGGGUUACGGAGCGGCGAACGGGUGAGUAACACGUGAUCAACCUGUCCCUACAUUCCGGAUAAUUGGCCGAAAGGCCUUGUAAUACGGGCGAGGAUCUCUGGAAGGCAUCUUCUGGAGAGGGAACACGCAAGUGGUGCGGGGAGGGGAUCGCGUCCCAUCAGGUAGUUGGUGAGGUAACGGCCCACCAAGCCUACGACGGGUAGCUGGUCUGAGAGGAUGGUCAGCCACAUUGGAACUGAGACACUGUCCAGACUCCUACGGGAGGCUGCAGUCGAGAAUCUUGCACAAUGCACGAAAGUGUGAUGCAGCGACGCCGCGUGAAGGAUGAAGGCCCUUGGGUCGUAAACUUCUUUUACUGGGGAAGAAUAAAUGACGGUACCCAGUGAAUAAGCCACGGCUAACUACGUGCCAGCAGCCGCGGUAAUACGUAGGUGGCAAGCGUUGUCCGGAUUUACUGGGUGUAAAGGGUGCGCAGGCGGACCUUUAAGUAGAAAGUGAAAGGUUGGAGCUCAACUCCGACACUGCUUCCUAUACUGGGGGUCUUGAGUCUUGGAGGGGGAAGCGGAACGACACGUGUAGCGGUGAAAUGCGUUGAUAUGUCGGAACACCAAUGGCGAAAGCAGCUUCCUGGACAAGUACUGACGCUCAGGCACGAAAGCCAAGGUAGCAAACAGGAUUAGAUACCCUAGUAGUCC